UGGGGAAUUUUCCGCAAUGGGCGAAAGCCUGACGGAGCGACACCGCGUGUAGGAUGAAGGCCCUCGGGUCGUAAACUACUGUCACGCUAUAGGAACAAGUCAUAAGACUCUGACCAAAGCGAGAGGAAGCACCGGCUAACUCCGUGCCAGCAGCCGCGGUAAGACGGAGGGUGCAAACGUUGCUCGGAAUCACUGGGCAUAAAGCGCACGUAGGCGGCGCGCUAAGUCGGAUGUGAAAGCCCUCGGCUCAACCGAGGAAUUGCAUUCGAUACUGGCGUGCUCGAGGGUGGUUGGGGUGAGUGGAACUCCAGGUGGAGCGGUGAAAUGCGUAGAUAUCUGGAGGAACACCGGUGGCGAAGGCGACUCACUGGACCACUACUGACGCUGAGGUGCGAAAGCUAGGGGAGCGAACGGGAUUAGAUACCCCCGUAGUCC
Molecule: ribosomal RNA, 435 nt
Filed under: uncultured prokaryote
Description: bacterial SSU rRNA
Rfam family: Bacterial small subunit ribosomal RNA
Source: RNAcentral